UAGAGUUUGAUCCUGGCUCAGGACGAACGCUGGCGGCGUGCCUAAUACAUGCAAGUCGAGCGAAUCGACGGGAGCUUGCUCCCUGAGAUUAGCGGCGGACGGGUGAGUAACACGUGGGCAACCUGCCUAUAAGACUGGGAUAACUUCGGGAAACCGGAGCUAAUACCGGAUACGUUCUUUUCUCGCAUGAGAGAAGAUGGAAAGACGGUUUACGCUGUCACUUAUAGAUGGGCCCGCGGCGCAUUAGCUAGUUGGUGAGGUAAUGGCUCACCAAGGCGACGAUGCGUAGCCGACCUGAGAGGGUGAUCGGCCACACUGGGACUGAGACACGGCCCAGACUCCUACGGGAGGCAGCAGUAGGGAAUCUUCCGCAAUGGACGAAAGUCUGACGGAGCAACGCCGCGUGAACGAAGAAGGCCUUCGGGUCGUAAAGUUCUGUUGUUAGGGAAGAACAAGUACCAGAGUAACUGCUGGUACCUUGACGGUACCUAACCAGAAAGCCACGGCUAACUACGUGCCAGCAGCCGCGGUAAUACGUAGGUGGCAAGCGUUGUCCGGAAUUAUUGGGCGUAAAGCGCGCGCAGGUGGUUCCUUAAGUCUGAUGUGAAAGCCCACGGCUCAACCGUGGAGGGUCAUUGGAAACUGGGGAACUUGA
RNAcentral lists this ribosomal RNA (655 nucleotides) under uncultured bacterium. RNAcentral describes it as "bacterial SSU rRNA". It matches the Rfam family "Bacterial small subunit ribosomal RNA", at positions 1 to 645 of the family's 1533-position model. The record is from RNAcentral.